Molecule: ribosomal RNA, 253 nt
Filed under: uncultured bacterium
Lineage: Bacteria
Description: partial 16S ribosomal RNA
Rfam family: Bacterial small subunit ribosomal RNA
Source: RNAcentral
GACGUAGGGCGCGAGCGUUGUCCGGAUUUAUUGGGCGUAAAGAGCUCGUAGGCGGCUUGUCGCGUCGUUCGUGAAAACCCACGGCUCAACUGUGGGCUUGCGGUCGAUACGGGCAGGCUGGAGUUCGGUAGGGGAGACUGGAAUUCCUGGUGUAGCGGUGAAAUGCGCAGAUAUCAGGAGGAACACCGAUGGCGAAGGCAGGUCUCUGGGCCAUUACUGACACUGAGAAGCGAAAGCAUGGGGAGCGAACAGG